UUUUCUUCUUUUUCUCCUCGGUGGACAGCAGUCCACGACUGCUUGUUCUUCUUCUUUCUACUUCUCCUUCUCUGUUCUUCUUUUCUUCUUCGUUCUUUCUUCUUCUACCCGAGCAGCUGAGAGAGAAUGAGAGAGAGAUCGAGAGUUUGAGAGAGUGAUGCUAUCGGAGAGGGAGUGCGAACCGGAGAAACCCAGAGACCCGUAGCAGACCCGAGCCGAGACCCGUGAGCCCGUGAGGCCGGUAGAACCCGAUCGGCGUGCUGGGUCGUCGGAGGUCCGAUUUUCUAGCGAUUUCCGGUGGUUCUAGUGGAUUUUCGGCGAAGACCCAUUGAACCACGAAGACCCGUAGCCCAGAACUCCUCGAACCCGUGACCCGUGACCCACUGAACCCGAGAGGAGACCCGGUUCUCCAUGGACUUUUUCUGGUGAGUUUUUCGGCGGUCCAGUGAGCUGAUCUCCGGUGAGCCAGCGACCCGUAGACCCAGUGCAACCGCCGAUCCGUGAGACCCAGAAGAGAGAACCCGAGCAACCCGACCCAUGACCCGUUGAACCGUGUGGAAGACCCGGUUCCCCAGCAGUGAUUUCCGGCGACUUUUCCGGCCGAAUUAGUGGUGUUUUUCGGUGGAUUGGCUAUGAAAAUCCUUGGGAUCAAGUUAUAAUUGGAGACUUCAAUGGGUUCUCCAAUGUAGAGUCCAAGUGACUAGAGUCCAAGGAGUGUUCGGGUUGGAGUCCAAUGCAGCCAAGAUGAUGUUUCUUUGGCUGUAGGUACUACGGUAUAGUCGGUGGGUCGGUAGCAGUGUGCUUGGGAUAUUAUGACUGAAGCUCACCGCGACGGUUGUAAUUGUCAGACCACGGGUUGUCCACUAUUUUAUAGGUUUGGUAUGGCUUGUGACGUUUGUGUCACUUAUUCUUUGUUAAGCCAUUAUUGUUAUGUAAAUAUUGUGUAUAAGACUCAAACAGAUAGAUGUUAAAUGGCUCAAUGUUGUAAUUAAUUUGUGAUAGAUGUAUAAGUUAUAAUUUCCGCUAUUCAGAUUUAUGUUUUUCGCUGCAUAGAUAGAUAUAUGUUAUACUCUGAUUAUCAGGUACAUGUUAUGGGGCAUGUGCCAUAUGUUGGCUGAGCGACACAUAGUCGUGCCACUGUGAGGACUCGUUUUACGUUUUGUAUUAAAAAAAAAAAAAACGGGUCGUCACAGCAGCUGCUCCUCCAAAUCAUAGCAAUUCAUCUCCAUUCUCCCAUCUUCGACCACCCUACACCAUGCCUCCGGAAGCAAAUCCAAUACACGCAGGUCUAACUCUGAAACCCGCAGCCUAGGAUGCUUGACAAGAGAAACAGUUUUCCCCCGAACCACUUUCGCAAAGGAUGGAGAAACCCCAUCUAGACGACUAGACAAAACACCCCCCUUCUAUAUCCCCUCCGAUGUGGACGCCUAAAAAACUAGCAACUGAGCCUUUGAAAAAGUAAGCAUCUUUUGUAACUCGCCCACAACCCGAGACCAGA
Molecule: long non-coding RNA, 1498 nt
Organism: Alnus glutinosa
Lineage: Eukaryota; Viridiplantae; Streptophyta; Magnoliopsida; Fagales; Betulaceae
Exons: 3
Source: RefSeq, a predicted model, not a curated record